RNAcentral lists this ribosomal RNA (857 nucleotides) under uncultured bacterium. RNAcentral describes it as "bacterial SSU rRNA". It matches the Rfam family "Bacterial small subunit ribosomal RNA", at positions 56 to 898 of the family's 1533-position model. The record is from RNAcentral.
UGCAAGUCGACGAAGAAAUACCUUCGGGUAAAGUAAGAGUGGCGAACGGGUGAGUAACACGUGGGUAACCUACCUUUGAGUGGGGAACAAUCCCUCUAACGAGGGGCUAAUACCGCAUAAUGCAGCGGCUCCGCAUGGAGACAGUUGUUAAAGGGGCAGCUUCGGUUGUCUCGCUUGAAGAUGGACCCGCGGUCCAUUAGCUUGUUGGUGAGGUAACGGCUCACCAAGGCAACGAUGGAUAGCCGGCCUGAGAGGGUGUACGGCCACACUGGAACUGAGAAAGGUCCAGUCCCCUACGGGGGCCAGCAGUCUAGAAAUUUGCGCAAUGGGCGAAAGCCUGACGCAGCGACGCCACGUGGAGGAUGAAGCCCUUAGGGGUGUAAACUCCUGUCAGAAGGGAAGAAUGCAGGAAAUAACUUUUCCUGUUUGACGGUACCUUCAGAGGAAGCCCCGGCUAACUUCGUGCCAGCAGCCGCGGUAAUACGAAGGGGGCAAGCGUUGUUCGGAUUUACUGGGCGUAAAGGGCGUGCAGGCGGACCGAUAAGUCGUCUGUGAAAUCUGUCGGCUCAACCAACAACUUGCAGUCGAAACUAUCGGUCUUGAGUACAGGAGAGGAGAGCGGAAUCUCAGGUGUAGCGGUGAAAUGCGUAGAUAUCUGGGAGAACACCGGUGGCGAAGGCGGCUCUCUGGCCUGAUACUGACGCUGAGGCGCGAAAGCUAGGGGAGCGAACGGGAUUAGAUACCCCGGUAGUCCUAGCUGUAAACGAUGGGUACUAGGUGUUGGAGGUAUUGACCCCUCCAGUGCCGCAGCUAACGCAUUAAGUACCCCGCCUGGGGAGUACGGUCGCAAGGCUGAA